UACGUAGGGUGCAAGCGUUGUCCGGAAUUAUUGGGCGUAAAGAGCUCGUAGGCGGUUUGUUGCGUCGGCUGUGAAAUCCCGAGGCUCAACCUCGGGUCUGCAGUCGAUACGAGCAAACUAGAGUGUUGCAGGGGAGACUGGAAUUCCUGGUGUAGCGGUGAAAUGCGCAGAUAUCAGGAGGAACACCGGUGGCGAAGGCGGGUUGCUGGGCUGACACUGACGCUGAGGCGCGAAAGCUAGGGGAGCGAACGGG
This 253-nucleotide ribosomal RNA is filed under the name uncultured bacterium. RNAcentral describes it as "partial 16S ribosomal RNA". It matches the Rfam family "Bacterial small subunit ribosomal RNA", at positions 524 to 776 of the family's 1533-position model. The record is from RNAcentral.